GACAUUCUUCUAAGAAGCUACCAACAAAGGAGGUGCUCAUAUGAACGAAAGGGGACAGGAUAGAAGAGAAGAGGGAGACUGAAUGUGGGAAAUGGAGAGAAAGCGAAAAAGAAAGGAAUAACCAGAAAGGACCAUUUGCUGUCAGUGACAUCCCCUGAGGGCAGUCCCUUGCUGCGUAUUGGGUCAACCCCCGGCGGCCUGUGGACUCGGCUGGGAGGCCAGAAGCCGAGGGAGAAGACCAGUAGCUGGCCAUAGUCUUGUGGGGGCCUCACUGGGCCCUCCUUGCCCGCUGCUCCCGGAACCUUGUGCCUAUGGAUUAAUCAUUGCUGCAAAAUCUCACGUCCAGGAAGAAUUAAACCCAUCGCCUUGGGGGCAAGACUAGCCUGGCUUUUGCAUCUUUAUAGCCUUUCUCCGCAGGUGCAGCCACCACCUCCAAAGUGACUGCCGGUCGGUCCAAGCGCUCUAACAGGCUCUUCCCCGAGCCUACCUGGGCUCGAGGGGUCCCACACCUGGUCCGGGGCGUAGCCCAUGUGAGGCCUGCAAGCUCCGGGCGCCUGGCCUACCUAACUCAGCCCCGCAGUCUCUGCAGAACCCCCUGCAGCCCCGUGGCCCAGUUUCUCCAUUUGCUCACAAUGGCCAACGGCGUGAGGCACUUGAGCGGAAUGCGGACGGUGCCUCCGACAGCUUUCCCGCAGUGCAUGAUCUCAGGAGGGGCCCCAGAGACGGAAGUUUACGACGCCCAGAGCGCUCCUUCUGGACGUGCCCUGGACUCGACUUGGGACUGAGUCUGUGCCGCCUAGGCUGGCAGGGACUCGGCCAGAUGCACUAGCGGCAAGGCUGGGCUGACACCGCCUGGGACUCGCUCGCCGUACCUCCAAGGGGCCCAGGUCAUGAGGGGGCGGCUGGGGAGACGCCCGCCCGGUGCCCGCCCUGGGCCCGGCGGGUGCCCCCUGCCCGCCG
This 960-nucleotide long non-coding RNA is filed under the name Homo sapiens (human). RNAcentral describes it as "non-protein coding lnc-CHAC1-1:1". The record is from RNAcentral. Lineage: Eukaryota; Metazoa; Chordata; Mammalia; Primates; Hominidae.